RNAcentral lists this ribosomal RNA (757 nucleotides) under Eilifdahlia wirthii. RNAcentral describes it as "eukaryotic LSU rRNA". It matches the Rfam family "Eukaryotic large subunit ribosomal RNA", at positions 165 to 937 of the family's 3401-position model. The record is from RNAcentral. Lineage: Eukaryota; Fungi; Ascomycota; Lecanoromycetes; Teloschistales; Teloschistaceae.
CGGGCGCGGCGGCGGUCUAAGUCCCUUGGAACGGGGCGUCAUAGAGGGUGAGAAUCCCGUAUGUGACCGGCGACCAAGCCCAUGUGAAACCCCUUCGACGAGUCGAGUUGUUUGGGAAUGCAGCUCAAAAUGGGUGGUAAAUUUCAUCUAAAGCUAAAUACUGGCCGGAGACCGAUAGCGCACAAGUAGAGUGAUCGAAAGAUGAAAAGCACUUUGGAAAGAGAGUCAAACAGUACGUGAAAUUGUUGAAAGGGAAGCGCUUGCAACCAGACCUGCCCGCGGGCGAUCAGCCGUCCCUUGGGGGCGGUGCACUCGCGCGCGACCAGGCCAGCAUCGGUUGGGGCGGCCGGACAAAGGCCCCGGGAACGUAGCUCCUCUCGGGGAGUGUUAUAGCCCGGGGCGUCAUGCGGCCAGCCCGGACCGAGGACCGCGCUUCGGCUAGGAUGCUGGCGUAAUGGUUGUAAGCGGCCCGUCUUGAAACACGGACCAAGGAGUCUAACAUCUAUGCGAGUGUUUGGGCGUCAAACCCAUGCGCGUAAUGAAAGUGAACGGAGGUGGGAACCCGGGGGCGCACCAUCGACCGAUCCUGAUGUCUUCGGAUGGAUUUGAGUACGAGCAUGGCUGUUGGGACCCGAAAGAUGGUGAACUAUGCCUGAAUAGGGUGAAGCCAGAGGAAACUCUGGUGGAGGCUCGCAGCGGUUCUGACGUGCAAAUCGAUCGUCGAAUUUGGGUAUAGGGGCGAAAGGUAUGUUUUCCU